CUGUCUGUAGCUCAGUUGGAUAGAGCACCGGAUUCCGAUUCCGGGUGCCGCAGGUUCAAAUCCUGUCAGACAGGCCA
RNAcentral lists this transfer RNA (77 nucleotides) under Clostridia bacterium. RNAcentral describes it as "tRNA-Arg". It matches the Rfam family "tRNA". From Rfam's summary of the family: Transfer RNA (tRNA) molecules are approximately 80 nucleotides in length. Their secondary structure includes four short double-helical elements and three loops (D, anti-codon, and T loops). The record is from RNAcentral. Lineage: Bacteria; Bacillati; Bacillota; Clostridia.